Molecule: ribosomal RNA, 253 nt
Filed under: uncultured bacterium
Lineage: Bacteria
Description: partial 16S ribosomal RNA
Rfam family: Bacterial small subunit ribosomal RNA
Source: RNAcentral
UACGGAGGGUGCAAGCGUUAAUCGGAAUUACUGGGCGUAAAGCGUGCGUAGGCGGUUUAUUAAGUCAGAUGUGAAAGCCCCGGGCUUAACCUGGGAACUGCAUUUGAAACUGGUAAACUAGAGUACGAUAGAGGGGGGUAGAAUUCAGAGUGUAGCGGUGAAAUGCGUAGAUAUUCUGAGGAAUACCGGUGGCGAAGGCGGCCCCCUGGACAGAUACUGACACUCAGAUGCGAAAGCGUGGGGAGCAAACAGG